This 253-nucleotide ribosomal RNA is filed under the name uncultured bacterium. RNAcentral's name for it is "partial 16S ribosomal RNA". It matches the Rfam family "Bacterial small subunit ribosomal RNA", at positions 524 to 776 of the family's 1533-position model. The record is from RNAcentral.
UACGUAGGGUGCAAGCGUUGUCCGGAAUUACUGGGCGUAAAGGGCGCGUAGGCGGCGCGGUAAGUCAGGAGUGAAAGCCCGGGGCUCAACCCCGGAACGUCUUUCGAAACUGCCGAGCUAGAGUGCGGAAGAGGCAACUGGAAUUCCCAGUGUAGCGGUGAAAUGCGUAGAUAUUGGGAAGAACACCUGAGGCGAAGGCGGGUUGCUGGGCCGACACUGACGCUGAGGAGCGAAAGCGUGGGGAGCGAACAGG